Molecule: ribosomal RNA, 500 nt
Filed under: uncultured bacterium
Lineage: Bacteria
Description: partial 16S ribosomal RNA
Rfam family: Bacterial small subunit ribosomal RNA
Source: RNAcentral
AUUGAACGCUGGCGGAAUGCUUUACACAUGCAAGUCGAACGGCAGCACGGACUUCGGUCUGGUGGCGAGUGGCGAACGGGUGAGUAAUGUAUCGGAACGUGCCCAGUCGUGGGGGAUAACGUAGUGAAAAUUAUGCUAAUACCGCAUACGAUCUAUGGAUGAAAGCGGGGGACCGUAAGGCCUCGCGCGAUUGGAGCGGCGGAUAUCAGAUUAGGUAGUUGGUGGGGUAAAGGCUCACCAAGCCGACGAUCUGUAGCUGGUCUGAGAGGACGACCAGCCACACUGGAACUGAGACACGGUCCAGACUCCCACGGGAGGCAGCAGUGGGGAAUUUUGGACAAUGGGCGCAAGCCUGAUCCAGCCAUUCCGCGUGCAGGAUGAAGGCCCUCGGGUUGUAAACUGCUUUUGUACGGAACGAAAAGGCUCUGGUUAAUACCUGGGGCUCAUGACGGUACCGUAAGAAUAAGCACCGGCUAACUACGUGCCAGCCGCCGCGGUAA